Adelges cooleyi (spruce gall adelgid) is the source of this 1160-nucleotide long non-coding RNA. RefSeq lists it as uncharacterized. The transcript is spliced from 4 exons. The record is from RefSeq and is a predicted model, not a curated record. Lineage: Eukaryota; Metazoa; Arthropoda; Insecta; Hemiptera; Adelgidae.
UUCACUGGUAAUGCAUAAUAUUUUUCAUUCAACGCCAAUCAGUCGUCGAGUUUAUAUUGUACAAACAAGUUGAAUCGCAUUAUUCCCGAGGAACCCACAGAUUUCUAUACUUUUUUUUUUAUUACUUAUAGAUCUGCCAAAAUAUCUUCGAGGCCCUCGCCGUACACAGUGCAUCCAAUACAACAGGCCCAAAUUAUACCUAAUCAUCUGAAUCAUUUACAAAGGCAUAACUAUAGAAAACUUGGGAGCGAUAAGCUUCAACUUCCUAUAAAGAAUUAUUUAAUUACUAGAUCAGUACCAAGUUAACUUAAAUUUAUUAUUAAAUUCUUUAUUAAUAACGAUAAGCUGUUAAAAAUAAUUUUUUAAUUUAAGCUGUUAAUUCUGUUCUGUGUCGAUAAAAUUUGGAUAAAUUUCAUGAUAAUUUGACAUUAACGUACAACUACUUAACAAAUUAUCACCUAUCAAAUGACAACGUUUUCUAAUUAAAUUUAAACUUAGAUUUAUUUAUUGUUUUAUAUCUUCCAUUGUGGCUUAUAUUUUUGCGCAGAAAAUCAAUUUACCCCUCUCUUUUUUCUUUACAUAUUUGUCUCUUAAAGUUUCUUUUAUAAUUAUUUACUGAGUAACAUUUAACACCUAAAAGUAUAUGAGGUUUGAAUUCAAAUUCAAAUCGGUAAGCAAUAGCAAAAUGCCAGAUUGUUUGUACAUUCCUUAACGUUAGACAAAGUGUUUGGGGAUCUUUCAUUCAGCCAACCAGACAUAAAGAAACAUUCGUAAUGGAUACCGAAACGGGAUUCACGUUGCACGGGGUGAAUAUGCCUACAGGACGAGGCCAUUAAUGCACACCAGCGUUCUAUUUCAACUGUCCAACAGUGUUCAGUACAAAUAAUCAAAAAUAUGCAUACGGUGAUAGCACUGCAUUCGUUAUCAAAUUGUUAAUGAUGGGCGUGUGAUAACAAUUUGUCAAUUUUGAUAUGCCAUCCUAUCGAUAAUCGACAUGUGACAACCCGCGAUCCGUGUUCGACACAAAAUAUACAAUAUUUAUACACUUGGUCGACCGACGUGAAUGCAUAUUAUUGAAUUAAAUAGUUAUUACAAUGAAUACGAGUUGCUGAAGAUUUUAACUACGUUUGGUUCGUGUAAUUUAGGUGCUCCAAGGAAAG